Long non-coding RNA from Papaver somniferum (opium poppy), 1431 nucleotides. RefSeq lists it as uncharacterized. The record is from RefSeq and is a predicted model, not a curated record. The transcript is spliced from 4 exons. Lineage: Eukaryota; Viridiplantae; Streptophyta; Magnoliopsida; Ranunculales; Papaveraceae.
CUUUCUGUUCGAACAAUUGUCGUGUUCUCAGUUUGGUUUAAUGAAUUACACCGACAAGCAUAUCUGUGUUGUAUUCAUAUUUAUCACUAAUUAAAGCUUGUGAAGGCGGGUCUAGUUUGAAUACUCUAUUAACAAGACGAUGGUACAAUUAACCUUUCUCCUCCAUAUAAAAACAAAACAAAGAAGAAAAAAAACAAGACGAUGGUAAAACUAGCGCCAGAUGAGUGAUUUUCUGUUCAGGUCGAUAUAGCACCGUAUGUCCGAAUCGGCCAGUACGUUGUUGACAUUGAUCCAGAUCCUCGGUUUAUUUGUAAUAUUCAACCAAUUUUAAUGAUUUAUAUAAACAGUCGUUCUAAACAGACCGCAUACUGGAACAAGAGCAAAUGUCAAAGAAAUUUGAUAUUCCUCGGAAAGGUGCGCUCACAGUCCAACUCUGCAACAAGUUAACAACAAUGUGCGAGUUGGAUUCAGCUUGACUCAGUGAAUUACCAAACUGGAUAAUCUCUAACCUACCCUCCCUAGUCGAGUCGGUUAAACUACCCUGAGUUAGUUUGGGUUAAAUUGGUCAGGUGUUUAACUAUUCUCAAAUUUCUGUUUCAGUCUCUGUGUCUGUCAUCUUCAUCUUCACUUUCUGUUUCACCAUGUUCAUCUUCAUAUAAAAGUUUGCAGAGUCAAAGACUGAUAAAUAUGAAUUCAUCAAAUUCAGAUGGUACUGGAAGGACGUCUGGUGGAGGGCCAUUUGUGAAAAUGAAUUCCAUGCCUAUCCUGAUUAAGGGGUUCCCCAAGCUGUGACUCCUCGCUCAGAAAGGUUGCAAGUCAAGAGGCAUAUGAAACGUUGGUGCAAUAGCAAAGCCAUACAAGUACCUGUGAUGUUGGAUUCUUGACAAAUAAGCAUGUAUUAGUUGAUCUUGACUACCCAAAUCAGAAUAUGUUUCAUCCAUUUCCUCCCAGCCUUGGACAUGCGUGUACCUGGGAGCAGUUGGAAGGGUAAAAUCUUUCAUUAGAGACGAUCUUUGGUAUGACACCUUCGCUGGAAAAAAACUAGGUAAUGUAGUUUUGACUUGUUGUGGAACUCCUUCAUGGAAUCUUACCAUGAAACUGUUGUGAUUUGUGCCGAUAUGUAUCUUGAGAUUUUAUAUCUCUUCGCAAUCAUGAAUCAACAGCCUUAUUAACAAGUGUGAAGGUUGGAAGAAGCUCCGAAUUAAUUACUGGUACAAUAACCGCCUACGCACUUGAGUAAAAUGACGAGAAAGUUUAUGGAGCUCCGCCAAAGACGGUUGAUGAAUGAAACAUGAUUUUGAUUGUUAAGAGACAAUGUUUCCGGUUAUAAACCCCUUUUGAAUGAGAUUUGUAUUAUAUUCAUCCAUUGAGAAUGUAAUUUUACAAUAAUAUACUCACUUGAAAUUAAAACAAUCUACCAUUUUUUUUUAA